UGGGGAAUUUUGGACAAUGGGCGCAAGCCUGAUCCAGCCAUACCGCGUGAGUGAAGAAGGCCUUCGGGUUGUAAAGCUCUUUCAGACGGAAAGAAACGGUUACGGCUAAUACCCGUGACUAAUGACGGUACCGUAAGAAGAAGCACCGGCUAACUACGUGCCAGCAGCCGCGGUAAUACGUAGGGACCAAGCGUUGUUCGGAUUUACUGGGCGUAAAGGGCGCGUAGGCGGCAUGACAAGUCACUUGUGAAAUCUCUGGGCUUAACCCAGAACGGCCAAGUGAUACUGUCGCGCUAGAGUGCAGAAGGGGCAAUCGGAAUUCUUGGUGUAGCGGUGAAAUGCGUAGAUAUCAAGAGGAACACCUGAGGUGAAGACGGGUUGCUGGGCUGACACUGACGCUGAGGCGCGAAAGCCAGGGGAGCAAACGGGAUUAGAUACCCCCGUAGUCCCUGAGCGGGCUGGCAAGGCGCAU
Molecule: ribosomal RNA, 472 nt
Filed under: uncultured bacterium
Lineage: Bacteria
Description: bacterial SSU rRNA
Rfam family: Bacterial small subunit ribosomal RNA
Source: RNAcentral